Molecule: ribosomal RNA, 216 nt
Filed under: Glomeromycotina sp.
Lineage: Eukaryota; Fungi; Glomeromycota
Description: partial small subunit ribosomal RNA
Rfam family: Eukaryotic small subunit ribosomal RNA (bases 40-216)
Source: RNAcentral
GGGUCAGUAGGUUGGUCGUGCCACUGGUACGUACUGGCCUCACUGAUUCCUCCUUCCUGAAGAACCGUAAUGCCAUUAAUUUGGUGUUGCGGGGAAACAGGACUGUUACUUUGAAAAAAUUAGAGUGUUUAAAGCAAGCUAACGCUUGAAUACAUUAGCAUGGAAUAAUGAAAUAGGACGAUCGAUCCUAUUUUGUUGGUUUCUAGGAUUGACGUA